GAUGAAGAACGUAGCGAAAUGCGAUACGUAAUGUGAAUUGCAGAAUUCAGUGAAUCAUCGAGUCUUUGAACGCACAUUGCGCCCCCUGGUAUUCCGGGGGGCAUGACUGUCCGAGCGUCAUUGCUGCCCUCAAGCACGGCUUGUGUGUUGGGCCUCCGUCCUCCUCCCGGGGGACGGGCCCGAAAGGCAGCGGCGGCACCGCGUCCGGUCCUCGAGCGUAUGGGGCUUCGUCACCCGCUCUUGUAGGCCCGGCCGGCGCUUGCCGACACAUCAAUCUUUUUUCCAGGUUGACCUCGGAUCAGGUAGGGAUACCCGCUGAACUUAAGCAUAUCAAUAAGCGGAGGA
RNAcentral lists this unclassified non-coding RNA (345 nucleotides) under soil metagenome. Its description in RNAcentral is "partial contains 5.8S ribosomal RNA, internal transcribed spacer 2, and large subunit ribosomal RNA". The stretch from base 1 to 120 matches the Rfam family "5.8S ribosomal RNA", at positions 35 to 154 of the family's 154-position model. The record is from RNAcentral.